RNAcentral lists this long non-coding RNA (2282 nucleotides) under Daphnia magna. RNAcentral's name for it is "uncharacterized LOC116933720". Lineage: Eukaryota; Metazoa; Arthropoda; Branchiopoda; Diplostraca; Daphniidae. The record is from RNAcentral.
UGACGGCAGCAAGCAUGUCUCUUGAGACUUUGAGAGUCUUGCCGUACAUUUACAUCUUAGGAGUUAGGACAUUCUUAUCUUUCAAGCGAAAUGCCAGGCCACUGAGUAGAGGACAGCAGGACAGCUGUGGUUUCGAUCACAGUGAUAGAUUUAUCAUGUAUUGGAAUAUUGGUUAGCACGUUAGCCUAACGUAAAAGAUCAGGAGAAAUUCUUUGUCUACCAAUGUGAUCCGAUGCAAGCCGUUUAUCGCGUUACCUGCUAUGUGCUAUUGUUGCUUGGGAAUGAAGUAGCCAAAACACAUGCAAUUUUUUCGAAGUCCAACCCUACCUUUUUUCAUUUUAUUUCAAGUAAAAUCACAAAACAGGGAUUGUGCUAAAGUUUUCUUAGCGAAGACGGCGAAGACUUAACAGAACUAAAGAAAACCUCCAAUCAUUCUCAACGUGUCUCGGCAAUAUCCACUUGCCGUUCGGCACCCAAUAGACCGAUUGGAGAUGAUGUAACCAAGAUUGACAUCAAAGCAUACAUGUUCAUUGAUGACAAAAGAACUUUGGCUAUCAAAACAGUUUUUCCAAAGUUUGGUGUAAUAUUUUAAUAAUACACAGAAUGUUGAUAACACAAUUAACAAUAUGAGCUGAGCUACGUCGUGACGCUUCUUACUUUGAGCUCUUAGCAACAAUGUUUUGCUGUGAUGAUAGACAAUGAUGACAAAUAACGUGGAUAAGUAGUCGGGAAGAAGUAGCAGACCUGACGUGUCGAUGCAGACCGAUCAAACAAGAAGAUAACAAGAGGGUUGCGGGACCAGAAAAGAACAGGCAAGCCGCUAAGUUGCUAGAUUAAACAGUUUAUUAGAGGUAAGAACAUAACUUCAAAAAUAAACCCUCUAAAAUACUAGUGUCCCAAUUACGCAAUCGACUAUAUGACGGCACAAAAUGAGAUUCUUUUCCAAUAAAAACAAAUUUCAUUUUCAGGCGUCGUGAAUUCCAUCUAUAAAUGCAGCAAGAUGUUCCGGAUCCACGUCGGGAUAUAUACCGUGUCCAAGAUUCGCUAUGUAACGUUGGCUACCAAAUCGAUGAACCAUAUUUUUGGCAAUCACUUGAAUGCUUUCCUAAGAAGGUAAAUUAACGGACAUUUAACAGCCAUGUAAAAAAUUCCGAAGGUCCUAUGCAGCCGAUGCAACUGAAACGGAACACCGUACCUUUGUUCCGUAAAGGGCACAAGGGUCCAUAUUUCCUUGUACAGUAAUGUUAGGUCCAACCUUUUGUCGACCUUCGUCGGGCUUUAUCGUCCAAUCAAGCCCAAUAAUAUCAUAGCCAACAGAACUGAGCUGCUCAAGAGAGAAAUGCCCUCCUUUCGGAAAGAUGCACUAAAGAAACUUUACAGACUUAGAACAGCAAAACAAAUAAAAAAUGGGAGGAUGGGUGGAGUAGCAUUUUGCUUCAGUUUACCAUUGGAACGUCUACUUUUGUUCGUACGCGUUCCUGGAUCUGCUUGAUGUAGGGAAGUGCAAACUGUGUAAAAAGAUCGGGACUCAAGUACUCGGCGUGAGAUUCAAACACCUGCAACAUCUACUAAAGAAUCCAAUAUGAUUAAAAGGUUUACAUUUCUAACAGGAUAAAUUGUAUAUAACCUGGGCGCCGGCUCUAACUUGUCCAACCAAAAAGUCAACUAUAGCAUCUGUUAAUAUUUGCAGCAAUUUGUGAGAUUCAUCUGGAUAUCGAUACAGCCAUGCUUUUGACUUUGACAUUGUUUUAGAACCACCUCCCUCAAUCAUGUAGCUCAUAAGCGUCCACUAAUUAACAAAAAAAUGAGUUAUAAACUACACUUUCAACAAAUAGCAUUUAACUCACUUACAGGUGCACCUGCAAACCCAAUUAAAGGAACUUUUCCUUCCAAUUUGUGACGAGUUAGAUUUAUGGCUUUAAAAACAUAGCCUAAUUUGUCAUCUACAUUCACGGGGGUUUCCAACAUGUUUAGAUCUUCUGGUGUAACCAGGGGUGAUGUAAAAACUGGCCCUUCGCCUGCUUUCAUAAGAACUUCCAUGCCUAAUGCCUGUGGAACCACUAGAAUAUCUGAGAAGAUUAUAGCUGCAUCUAGAGGGAACCUUCUGAUGGGUUGUAGGGUUAUUUCACAUGCAACUUCUGGUGUUCGGCACAUUGAGAAAAAAUCAUGGUUCACCCUUGUAGCACGAAACUCUAAAUAACAUGUCAUGAAAAAUGAAUCAAUCACCACAAACUAAUAAAUAUGAAAAAAACCUGGUAAAUAUCGCCCGGCUUGUCUCAUGA